RNAcentral lists this ribosomal RNA (429 nucleotides) under Actinomycetes bacterium. RNAcentral describes it as "Actinobacteria bacterium partial 16S ribosomal RNA". It matches the Rfam family "Bacterial small subunit ribosomal RNA", at positions 355 to 776 of the family's 1533-position model. The record is from RNAcentral. Lineage: Bacteria; Bacillati; Actinomycetota; Actinomycetes.
UAGGGAAUCUUCCGCAAUGGGCGAAAGCCUGACGGAGCAACGCCGCGCGAGUGAUGAAGGUCUUCGGAUCGUAAAACUCUGUUAUUAGGGAAGAACAAAUGUGUAAGUAACUAUGCACGUCUUGACGGUACCUAAUCAGAAAGCCACGGCUAACUACGUGCCAGCAGCCGCGGUAAUACGUAGGUGGCAAGCGUUAUCCGGAAUUAUUGGGCGUAAAGCGCGCGUAGGCGGUUUUUUAAGUCUGAUGUGAAAGCCCACGGCUCAACCGUGGAGGGUCAUUGGAAACUGGAAAACUUGAGUGCAGAAGAGGAAAGUGGAAUUCCAUGUGUAGCGGUGAAAUGCGCAGAGAUAUGGAGGAACACCAGUGGCGAAGGCGACUUUCUGGUCUGUAACUGACGCUGAUGUGCGAAAGCGUGGGGAUCAAACAGG